GUUAUAUGGUCAAGCGAAUAAGCGCACACGGUGGAUGCCUUGGCGGUCAGAGGCGAUGAAGGACGUGGCAGCCUGCGAAAAGUAUCGGGGAGCUGGCAACAAGCUUUGAUCCGGUAAUGUCCGAAUGGGGAAACCCACCCGCUUGCGGGUAUCCUGCAGUGAAUACAUAGCUGCUGGAAGCGAACCUGGUGAACUGAAAUAUCUAAGUAACCAGAGGAAAAGAAAUCAACCGAGAUUCCCUGAGUAGCGACGAGCGAACGGGGACUAGCCCUUAAGCUGGAAUGGUUCUAGAAAAACAGCCUGGAACGGCUGGCCAUAGAAGGUGAUAGCCCUGUAUUUAAAAGGGCCACUCCAGUGAAGACGAGUAGGGCGGGGCACGUGAAACCCUGUCUGAACAUGGGGGGACCAUCCUCCAAGGCUAAAUACUACUGACCGACCGAUAGUGAACCAGUACCGUGAGGGAAAGGCGAAAAGAACCCCGGAGAGGGGAGUGAAAUAGAUCCUGAAACCGUGUGCGUACAAGCAGUAGGAGCUCGAAAGAGUGACUGCGUACCUUUUGUAUAAUGGGUCAGCGACUUACUGUUCGUGGCAAGCUUAACCGUAUAGGGGAGGCGAAGGGAAACCGAGUCUGAUAAGGGCGCAUAGUCGCGGGCAGUAGACCCGAAACCGGGUGAUCUAGUCAUGGCCAGGGUGAAGGUGCCGUAACAGGUACUGGAGGCCCGAACCCACGUCUGUUGCAAAAGACGGGGAUGAGCUGUGAUUAGGAGUGAAAAGCUAAUCGAACCCGGAGAUAGCUGGUUCUCCUCGAAAGCUAUUUAGGUAGCGCCUCAUAUGUAUCCUCUCGGGGGUAGAGCACUGUUAUGGCUAGGGGGUCAUCGCGACUUACCAAACCAUUGCAAACUCCGAAUACCGAGACGGACUGUAUGGGAGACACACGGCGGGUGCUAACGUCCGUCGUGAAAAGGGAAACAACCCAGACCCACAGCUAAGGUCCCAAAUUCACUGCUAAGUGGAAAACCAUGUGGAAAGGCACAGACAGCCAGGAGGUUGGCUUAGAAGCAGCCACCCUUUAAAGAAAGCGUAAUAGCUCACUGGUCGAGUCGGUCUGCGGGGAAGAUUUAACGGGGCUAAGCAGUGAACCGAAGCUUGGGGUGUGCAUAUUUAUAUGUACGCGGUAGAGGAGCGUUCCGUAAGCCGUUGAAGGUGGAUUGAGAAGUCUGCUGGAGGUAUCGGAAGUGCGAAUGCUGACAUGAGUAACGAUAAUGCGGGUGAAAAACCCGCACGCCGAAAGCCCAAGGUUUCCUUGCGCAACGUUAAUCGGCGCAGGGUGAGUCGGCCCCUAAGGCGAGGACGAAAGUCGUAGUCGAUGGGAAGCAGGUUAAUAUUCCUGCACCUCGCGUAAGUGCGAUGGAGGGACGGAGAAGGUUAGGUGUACCCGGCGUUGGUUGUCCGGGGGAAAGGCGGUAGGUUUGGAUCUUUGGCAAAUCCGGGAUCCUUUAAGACCGAGCACCGAGACGAGCCUUUAAGGCGAAGUCACUGAUACCACGCUUCCAGGAAAAGCUCCUAAGCUUCAGCUUACGCAGACCGUACCGUAAACCGACACAGGUGGGUAGGAUGAGAAUUCUCAGGCGCUUGAGAGAACUCGGGUGAAGGAACUAGGCAACAUGGCACCGUAACUUCGGGAGAAGGUGCGCCCUUUUUGGUGGCUCAUGCGAGCUAUAGCUGAAGAGGGCCGCAGUAACCAGGCCGCUGCGACUGUUUAUCAAAAACACAGCACUCUGCAAACACGAAAGUGGACGUAUAGGGUGUGACGCCUGCCCGGUGCUGGAAGGUUAAUUGAUGGGGUCAGCCGCAAGGCGAAGCUCUUGAUCGAAGCCCCAGUAAACGGCGGCCGUAACUAUAACGGUCCUAAGGUAGCGAAAUUCCUUGUCGGGUAAGUUCCGACCUGCACGAAUGGCGUAACGACAGCGGCGCUGUCUCCACCCGAGACUCAGUGAAAUUGAAAUCGCUGUGAAGAUGCAGCGUUCCCGUGGCAAGACGGAAAGACCCCGUGAACCUUUACUAUAGCUUUACACUGAACGUUGAGUUCGUCUGUGUAGGAUAGGUGGGAGGCUAUGAAACUGUGGCGCUAGCUGCAGUGGAGCCAUCCUUGAAAUACCACCCUGUCGUGCUUGACGUUCUAACCUAGGUCCAUAAUCUGGAUCGGGGACCGUGUAUGGUGGGUAGUUUGACUGGGGCGGUCUCCUCCUAAAGAGUAACGGAGGAGCUCGAAGGUACGCUCAGCGCGGUCGGACAUCGCGCACUGUGUGCAAAGGCAUAAGCGUGCUUGACUGCAAGAUCGACGGAUCAAGCAGGUAGGAAACUAGGACUUAGUGAUCCGGUGGUUCUGUAUGGAAGGGCCAUCGCUCAACGGAUAAAAGGUACUCCGGGGAUAACAGGCUGAUACCGCCCAAGAGUUCAUAUCGACGGCGGUGUUUGGCACCUCGAUGUCGGCUCAUCACAUCCUGGGGCUGUAGUCGGUCCCAAGGGUAUGGCUGUUCGCCAUUUAAAGUGGUACGCGAGCUGGGUUCAGAACGUCGUGAGACAGUUCGGUCCCUAUCUGCCAUGGGCGUUGGAGAUUUGAGAGGGGCUGCUCCUAGUACGAGAGGACCGGAGUGGACGAACCUCUGGUGUUCCGGUUGUCACGCCAGUGGCAUUGCCGGGUAGCUAUGUUCGGAAGCGAUAACCGCUGAAAGCAUCUAAGCGGGAAGCGCGCCUCAAGAUGAGAUCUCCCGGGGCACAAGCCCCCUGAAGGAACCAUAUAGACUAUGUGGUUGAUAGGUCAGGUGUGUAAGUACAGCAAUGUAUUGAGCUAACUGAUACUAAUGAUCCGUGUGGCUUGACCAUAUAACCU
RNAcentral lists this ribosomal RNA (2893 nucleotides) under Mycobacterium tuberculosis. RNAcentral describes it as "bacterial LSU rRNA". It matches the Rfam family "Bacterial large subunit ribosomal RNA". Lineage: Bacteria; Bacillati; Actinomycetota; Actinomycetes; Mycobacteriales; Mycobacteriaceae. The record is from RNAcentral.